AGAAAUGGAAAAUCCUGAUGUGGCUGUAAGCAGCUGCACUGCUCAUGAUGAUGAAAAUCUUUGCAUCUACAAACGGCACCUGUCAGUAUCACAGGAUGGGCUUUUGGAAGACCAGCUUAGAAGGAAGUUAAAAUUCUUCUUCAUGAACCCAUGUGAGAAAUUCUGGGCCCGGGGCAGGAAACCUUGGAAACUUGGGAUUCAACUACUCAAAAUAGCAAUGGUUACUAUUCAGCUGGUGGUUUUUGGAUUGAGCAAUCAGAUGGUGGUUGCCUUCAAAGAAGAGAACACUGUUGCAUUCAAACAUCUCUUCUUGAAAGGAUACAUGGACAGAAUGGAUGAUACCUAUGCUGUAUACACACAAACAGAUGUCUAUGACCAGAUAUUCUUUGCAAUAAACCAGUACUUACAGCUGCCCAACAUUUCUGUUGGAAACCAUGCUUAUGAGAGGAGGGGAGCAGAGGAGACAGCUCUGGCUGUGUGUCAGCAGUUCUACAAGCGGGGAACCAUCUGUCCUGGAAAUGACACCUUUGAUAUAGACCCAGAGAUUGUGACUGACUGCUUGUACAUUGAGCCAAUGACGCCGUUAGACAACACAACUGCGGGAAAGCACAAUCUGAAUUUCACUCUGGAUUUCCACAGACUGGUGACCGUGCAGCUCAUGUUCAAUCUGAAGGCAAUCAACCUCCAGACUGUUCGUCACCACGAGCUCCCUGACUGUUACGAUUUCACUUUGACGAUAGUGUUUGAUAAUAAAGCACAUAGUGGAAGAAUUAAAAUAAGUCUAGACAAUGAUAUAUCGAUCAGAGAAUGUAAAGACUGGCACGUUUCUGGAUCAAUACAGAAGAACACUCACUACAUGAUGAUCUUUGAUGCUUUUGUUAUAUUGACUUGUCUGGCCUCACUGAUCCUUUGCACACGAUCAGUCGUUAAAGGAAUUCGGCUCCAAAGGGAAUUUGUAAGCUUUUUCUUAUAUUAUUAUAAGAAAGAAGUAUCUUUCAGUGAUCAGAUGGAAUUUGUCAAUGGAUGGUACAUCCUUAUUAUGGUUAGCGAUGUCUUAACUAUUGUUGGAUCAACUCUAAAGAUGGAGAUACAAGCCAAAAGCCUGAGCAGCUAUGAUGUCUGUAGCAUACUCCUGGGAACAUCCACUAUGCUUGUGUGGCUUGGAGUCAUUCGCUACCUAGGUUUCUUUCAGAAGUAUAAUGUAAGAAUCUCCCGGGAUCUUCGUGCUGUUGCUUCUCAUCCUCACACUGCGAGCAGCAUUACCCAGCGUAAUGAGGUUCUGCUGUUGUGCUGCUAUGAUCUACCUGGGCUAUUGUUUCUGUGGAUGGAUUGUACUGGGACCAUACCAUGUGAAGUUUCGCUCUCUGAACAUGGUUUCCGAAUGCCUUUUUUCAUUGAUCAAUGGAGAUGACAUGUUUGCCACCUUUGCAAAAAUGCAACAGAAAAGUUACUUGGUUUGGUUAUUCAGUAGGAUCUACCUCUACUCCUUCAUCAGUCUGUUCAUCUAUAUGGUACUGAGUCUCUUCAUUGCACUUAUUACAGAUACGUAUGAAACUGUCAAGCACUACCAGCAAGAUGGAUUUCCAGAGACAGAACUUCAGAGAUUUAUAUCACAGUGCAAAGACUUACCAAACUCUGGCAUGUACAGGUUAGAGGAGGAGAGUUCUGCAUCUCUCUUCUGUUGUUGUAAUGGUUGUAGUGAACAUAUUUAAUGGAUUGUGGGAGUGUAUCAUGGAGGUUUUAAAGCAACACACAUUGCAAGAACUGGACAGUGGAGCUGGUGGAAAACCUUACACCUAAAGCCUGAAUUUGCUUUUCUCAAAAACCAGUGUAAGCCUGUGGCAGAAGCUUACGAUAAACUUACAGUCUUUCUGCUUAGGCACUGUCAUUGCUAGUUCAGGGGUUUGGGGGGUAUGUUUUUUUAUUAGCUUUGUUCUAUUUGUUUCCUCAGUUAAAUUGUGCUAGAAUGCAAAGGGCAUUAAAAAGCUGUCAUCUGUGUUCAAAGACUUGGCUAGAUUAUGCGAGUAGACUAGAAUGCAGUAACUUUCAACUGUAAGUAGAAAUAGUGCUGGACAACUGCAACGUUGAACACCAACCUAGCCCUCAGCAUUAGAGGCAUUAUUUAGCUAUGGCUGACCUGUCACUGAAUGAAUGAAAGCUCGCUCUAGAGCCCUCGGCAUGUUUUGUUUAUCUGCACUCACAGUAAAAAUAAAGCUAUGAAAUUUGGUGUAAUACGUUUCUGGAGGCAUUACAGUGAAUUGAUGCACAAGCCGUUCAAAUACGGCUGAGAGCAUAAACUAAAUAUUUCUAUAAAGAUAAGUACCACUUGAUGUAAGUGUCAGUCUCUCCUCAGAGAGGCCAGGGACAUGCCAGGCCAGAACUGAAUUUUGAGGGGUGAGUUGAGUAGAGAAAUGGAUGUUCUCCUAUAUCCAGCACUGAGUAGGAUCAGUUACAGUCUUCAGCUCUGCAGUGUGCUGACCUUGUGUUUUUAAGGGAAAAGUCUUUCAGAAGCACUUUCAAAAUACCUAUUUUUUUAUUUGAAGUCUUUCUCUGAAGUCUGAACUGAGUCAAACACAUAGACUCUCAGAGACAUAUCUCUCCAUGCUUUACAAACUCAGUGUUUCUUACCAACCUAAUAACCUGGUACUGUCAGUGGCUGUCUGAAACGUUAGAUCUUACAGAAGUUUGGUUUUGACAACUUAUAUACUUUGUUGCCUGUGAUACCAUUUAAGGGAUGCCUUAUUUUCUCUAGUCUAUUCACUCUGGGAGCAGAAUAGAAGACCAAAGGGAAGUAUAUUUUAGAUAACUUGCAUUUGUGAGCAACGUUCCGGUAGCUGUGUGUGACAAUAUAAUGCUGUGCACAAAGAUGGAGGACACUAAACAUGUUCUGUCUGAAUGUUUACACAUUGUAAAUGCUCUACAAUAAACGCUUCCAGCUGCAGUAA
RNA transcript from Athene cunicularia (burrowing owl), 2945 nucleotides. It is a transcript of the gene named mucolipin 3, with no coding region annotated. The transcript is spliced from 13 exons. The record is from RefSeq and is a predicted model, not a curated record. Lineage: Eukaryota; Metazoa; Chordata; Aves; Strigiformes; Strigidae.